Molecule: non-coding RNA, 28 nt
Filed under: Mus musculus (house mouse)
Lineage: Eukaryota; Metazoa; Chordata; Mammalia; Rodentia; Muridae
Source: RNAcentral
UACACUAAGGACAGUGCAUGCCUCGAGC